AGAGUUUGAUUCUGGCUCAGAACGAACGCUGGCGGCGUGGAUAAGACAUGCAAGUCGAACGGGACAUUCCAGGUAGCAAUAUUUGAAAUGUUCAGUGGCGAACGGGUGCGUAACACGUGGAUUACAUUCCGGGAAGCGGGGGAUAGCCCAGGGAAACUUGGAUUAAUACCGCAUGUGGUCGAAAGACUAAAGGUGGGGACCGCAAGGCCUGCCACUUCCCGAUUGGUCCGCGCCCUAUCAGCUUGUUGGUGAGGUAAUGGCUCACCAAGGCUACGACGGGUAGCUGGUCUUAGAGGACGACCAGCCACACUGGAACUGAGACACGGUCCAGACACCUACGGGUGGCAGCAGUCGAGAAUCUUUCACAAUGGGGGCAACCCUGAUGGAGCGACGCCGCAUGCGAGAACAAGGUACCUAGGUUAAUAGCCUAGUUGUUUGAUGGUACCGCAAGAGGAAGAGACGGCUAACUCUGUGCCAGCAGCCGCGGUAAUACAGAGGUCUCAAGCGUUGUUCGGAAUCACUGGGCGUAAAGGGUGCGUAGGCUGCGCCGUAAGUCAGAUGUGAAAGCUCAGGGCUCAACCCUGAAAUUGCAUCCGAUACUGCGGUGCUCUAGAAAUGAAGAGGAGUCUAGAAUUUUCGGUGUAGCAGUGAAAUGCGUAGAUAUCGAAAGGAAUACCAAGGGCGAAGGCAGGACUCUGGGCAUUUUCUGACGCUGAUGCACGAAGGCCAGGGUAGCGAACGGGAUUAGAUACCCCGGUAGUCCUGGCAGUAAACGGUGCACGUUUGGUGUGGGGGGAUUCGACCCCUUCCGCGCCGGAGCUAACGCGUUAAACGUGCCGCCUGGGAAGUACGGUCGCAAGAUUAAAACUCAAAGAAAUUGACGGGGACCCGCACAAGCGGUGGAGUAUGUGGCUUAAUUCGAUGCAACGCGAAGAACCUUACCUGGGUUUGACAUGCACUGUGUCCCCGAUGAAAGUCGGGUAGCAUAGCAAUAUGCGCUUUGCACAGGUGCUGCAUGGCUGUCGUCAGCUCGUGUCGUGAGAUGUUGGGUUAAGUCCCGCAACGAGCGCAACCCCUGUGAUUUGUUGCCACCUGGUUUUCCAGAGCACUCGAAUCAGACUGCCUCGAUCAACGAGGAGGAAGGUGGGGACGACGUCAAGUCCGUAUGGCCCUUACACCCAGGGCUGCACACGUACUACAAUGCUCAGUACAAUGUGAACCGAUACCGCGAGGUGGAGGAAAUCCAUAAAAUUGAGCUCAGUUCAGAUUGUAGUCUGCAAUUCGACUACAUGAAGAUGGAAUCGCUAGUAAUGGCGCAUCAGCUACGGCGCCGUGAAUACGUUCCCGGGUCUUGUACACACCGCCCGUCACAUCAUGGAAGCCGGUUUCGCCCGAAGUGCGCAAGCCAACCGCAAGGAGGCAGCGCCCUAAGGCAAGACUGGUAACUGGGAUGAAGUCGUAACAAGGUA
Molecule: ribosomal RNA, 1469 nt
Filed under: metagenome
Description: bacterial SSU rRNA
Rfam family: Bacterial small subunit ribosomal RNA
Source: RNAcentral